GGGCGGUUGGCGCAGCUGGUUAGCGCGUUUCCUUGACACGGAAGAGGUCGCAGGUUCGAGUCCUGUAUCGCCCACCA
RNAcentral lists this transfer RNA (77 nucleotides) under Mobiluncus curtisii. RNAcentral describes it as "tRNA-Val(gac)". It matches the Rfam family "tRNA". Rfam says of the family: Transfer RNA (tRNA) molecules are approximately 80 nucleotides in length. Their secondary structure includes four short double-helical elements and three loops (D, anti-codon, and T loops). RNAcentral also lists the same sequence under 13 other names. Lineage: Bacteria; Bacillati; Actinomycetota; Actinomycetes; Actinomycetales; Actinomycetaceae. The record is from RNAcentral.